AUUAAUAUUGAAAACAUUAAGUACACGAAAGUUGUACUUUCACUGAACUUUAUUACAAUUUUAUGGUAUAUCGGAGUCAGAAUGGGUGUAACUUGUGUUCCGACAACCGAAAUUGCAGGAUCGAGACCGAAAUUCAUUUUUACGACAUCGCAAAAAACAGAUAGAAAUAUUAUCCCAUCCACAAUAUGAUUAAGAGUGUCUGCAAGCGAGCGUUGAAAUUUACUUUUGUGAAUCCCAAUAACUGACAGUAUAAUCAACAAAGUUCCAGCGAAAACCUGUACCAAGAAAAGGAAAUAAGAAACGAAAUUCCGUCAAUAUUUUUUGUAAAAAUUUAUGAAUUCAAAUGUAUAUACGUUCCAUACAUGUACAUAUUUAUAAGUAUUUUUUAAUUUUAAUAUUGCUGAAUAAAUCGCAAAAUCAGCUGCUCUGGUGCGACCACCUUGAAUGAGUUCGUCUUGGCACACGUACACGAUGCACAGAAGGACACAAGCAUGAGUAAAAAAUGUGCUUAAUGGUGCCAGUGAAACCACGAAAUGGAGAAAAAAACCUUUUUUCGGGCAAGUGACUCGCUUAUUUUUUUACAACAUUUUCGCACACCCCUAAAAAAACUUUAUUUUUACAAUCUUUUUUCUGUACUUUCAUCUUCAUUUUUGGUUCUACCAGUGCAUGUUUGACAUUGAAAAACAACUGGAAGUUCUCCGUAGUCCCUAGUGAAAGCAGGCUCCUUGAAGUAGUGCGAGGGCUUGGUCCAAUCGCUAAUCAGACCUUAUCGGCGGUUGUAACUAAGUAAAUAUGAGUAUUUACCAGAGUUGGACAUUUUUUAGUGCUUUUUGAACGACGGCCAAGAUUUGCUGGGUGGAAGCAUCCCGAAUGGCAUGCUGUAAGACUCGGAAGGUAGGAGGAUGAUGAAAGUGGGGUGCAAUGCAAUUCUCACCCCCUGCUAUUGUGCAAACGUUUGCGAUAUUCCCAGUCGCCAACGUACAAAGGACCAAAAAUCUUCCAAUCUUUCUCUCGACAUUCUAAGGCCCACUUCAUAGGAAAUUGUCAUCGUCCACACAGAAUAGGUUUGAUUGAUGAGAGGUGUAUGUAUAAAGUAUGAUUUUUGUUCAUGAAGGGAGAAUUUUACUGCUGAAAUGCCUCCAAACUAACACUCCGUUUGAUUUCAAGGCUGAAAUUAUUAUCUGUGUCUCAAAUAAAUAAAGUUUCUUAUUAUAACUGUCCACAGUGAUGUGGCUGACGAUA
Molecule: long non-coding RNA, 1242 nt
Organism: Anastrepha ludens (Mexican fruit fly)
Lineage: Eukaryota; Metazoa; Arthropoda; Insecta; Diptera; Tephritidae
Exons: 3
Source: RefSeq, a predicted model, not a curated record